RNAcentral lists this long non-coding RNA (317 nucleotides) under Setaria viridis. Its description in RNAcentral is "long non-coding RNA (SVIR_LNC008019)". The record is from RNAcentral. Lineage: Eukaryota; Viridiplantae; Streptophyta; Magnoliopsida; Poales; Poaceae.
GACUAGACGCGUUGAUUUAUUGUAAGACAUGCAGAUAGUUAUUUGAAAGGAUGUGGUUUGCAUUAAUUCUUGAUAAAUUAGAUAGUAACGUAAAAACGUUUGUUAAAAUCUCCAAAGCAUCCCUAAUGGCAUAGAUACGCCCCACAAAUAAUGUUAUACACAUAUAACCCAACUCAUGUCACUACUAGCUAUGUUCAUACAUUAUGGUUUAUUUGGAUUGUCAAGCAAAGUAACCCUACCCCUGCCCCACCCUACACACGCACCCCACACUUUUUUACGAUUUAUUUGGAUUUGUCACACAAAGUAACCCCCCACUC